Molecule: ribosomal RNA, 252 nt
Filed under: uncultured bacterium
Lineage: Bacteria
Description: partial 16S ribosomal RNA
Rfam family: Bacterial small subunit ribosomal RNA
Source: RNAcentral
ACGAAGGGGGCUAGCGUUGUUCGGAAUUACUGGGCGUAAAGCGCACGUAGGCGGGUCGUUAAGUUAGAGGUGAAAUCCCAGGGCUCAACCCUGGAACUGCCUUUGAUACUGGCGGCCUUGAGUUCGAGAGAGGUGAGUGGAAUUCCGAGUGUAGAGGUGAAAUUCGUAGAUAUUCGGAGGAACACCAGUGGCGAAGGCGGCUCACUGGCUCGAUACUGACGCUGAGGUGCGAAAGCGUGGGGAGCAAACAGG